CUCACCCCUAGAGUCAUUGCUGGUGGGGAUUCUGUGUCACAUGGGUGUCAAUAGAUGGCAGAGAGGAGAGAGAUUUUGUCUAUAAUGCUCAGUGUUCUGACCUAGGAACAUCAGAAGGAUUAGUAGUGAAACAAU
Molecule: small nucleolar RNA, 135 nt
Organism: Apodemus sylvaticus (European woodmouse)
Lineage: Eukaryota; Metazoa; Chordata; Mammalia; Rodentia; Muridae
Product: small nucleolar RNA SNORA17
Exons: 1
Source: RefSeq, a predicted model, not a curated record